UGCCAGCCGCCGCGGUAAUACGUAGGGGGCGAGCGUUAUCCGGAUUUAUUGGGCAUAAAGCGCGCGUAGGCGGUAUUUUAAGUCAGAUGUUAAAGUCAUAGGCUCAACCUAUGGUCGCGUCUGAAACUGAAGUACUAGAGGUCAGUAGAGGGAAAUGGAACUCACGGUGUAGCGGUGAAAUGCGUAGAUAUCGUGAGGAACACCAGUUGCGAAGGCGAUUUCCUGGCCUGAUCCUGACACUGAGGUGCGAAAGCGUGGGGAGCGAACAGGAUUAGAUA
Molecule: ribosomal RNA, 278 nt
Filed under: uncultured bacterium
Lineage: Bacteria
Description: partial 16S ribosomal RNA
Rfam family: Bacterial small subunit ribosomal RNA
Source: RNAcentral